UUCUACGACUAAAUUCAUCCUGGAUGCACCUGAUACCAUUGAUCUCAAAAAGCUAUGCAGGUUUGGACCUGGUCAAUACUUGGAUGGGAUGCUGCCUGGGAAUACCAAAUGUUACUGGCU
This 120-nucleotide ribosomal RNA is filed under the name Petromyzon marinus (sea lamprey). Lineage: Eukaryota; Metazoa; Chordata; Hyperoartia; Petromyzontiformes; Petromyzontidae. The record is from RNAcentral.